GUCCCCUUCGUCUAGAGGCCCAGUGACACCGCCCUUUCACGGCGGUAACAGGGGUUCGAAUCCCCUAGGGGACGCCA
This 77-nucleotide transfer RNA is filed under the name Escherichia coli. Its description in RNAcentral is "tRNA-Glu". It matches the Rfam family "tRNA". From Rfam's summary of the family: Transfer RNA (tRNA) molecules are approximately 80 nucleotides in length. Their secondary structure includes four short double-helical elements and three loops (D, anti-codon, and T loops). Lineage: Bacteria; Pseudomonadati; Pseudomonadota; Gammaproteobacteria; Enterobacterales; Enterobacteriaceae. RNAcentral also lists the same sequence under 2 other names. The record is from RNAcentral.